This 253-nucleotide ribosomal RNA is filed under the name uncultured bacterium. RNAcentral describes it as "partial 16S ribosomal RNA". It matches the Rfam family "Bacterial small subunit ribosomal RNA", at positions 524 to 776 of the family's 1533-position model. The record is from RNAcentral.
UACGUAGGGUGCGAGCGUUAAUCGGAAUUACUGGGCGUAAAGCGUGCGCAGGCGACUUUGCAAGACAGAUGUGAAAUCCCCGGGCUCAACCUGGGAACUGCAUUUGUGACUGCAAGGCUAGAGUACGGCAGAGGGGGAUGGAAUUCCGCGUGUAGCAGUGAAAUGCGUAGAUAUGCGGAGGAACACCAAUGGCGAAGGCAAUCCCCUGGGCCUGUACUGACGCUCAUGCACGAAAGCGUGGGGAGCAAACAGG